This 344-nucleotide ribosomal RNA is filed under the name uncultured bacterium. Its description in RNAcentral is "bacterial SSU rRNA". It matches the Rfam family "Bacterial small subunit ribosomal RNA", at positions 8 to 334 of the family's 1533-position model. The record is from RNAcentral.
AGAGUUCGAUCAUGGCUCAGGACGAACGCUGGCGGCGUGCCUAACACAUGCAAGUCGAACGGGGUACCCCGGAUUGAGGCUUCGGCCGAUUGAAGGGACUACCUAGUGGCGAACGGGUGAGUAACGCGUGAGCAACCUGCCUUUCAGUGGGGGACAACAGAGGGAAACUUCUGCUAAUACCGCAUAACAUGUCCGGGAGGCAUCUUCUGGACAUCAAAGAUUUAUCGCUGAAAGAUGGGCUCGCGUCUGAUUAGCUAGUUGGUGGGGUAACGGCCCACCAAGGCGACGAUCAGUAGCCGGACUGAGAGGUUGAUCGGCCACAUUGGGACUGAGAUACGGCCCAG